ACAGCAAGCCGUCUUAUCGCCGCGAAGCAAUUCGGGGAGGAAAGUCCGGGCAACGCAGAGCAUCCUGCUUCCUAACGGGAAGGGUCUGUUUUGGAGACGAACCAGAUACAGCCAGUGCCACAGAAAAUUACCGCCAGCAGCAAUGCUGGUAAGGGUGAAAAGGUGCGGUAAGAGCGCACCAGCGGUUGGGUGACCAGUCCGGCUGGGUAAACCUCAGGAGUUGAAAGACCAAAUAGGCCGGCAGCGUCUUGCUUCGGCGAGACUAAGGGCUGCUCGUCCGAUGUCGGUGGGUAGGUCGAUGGAGCCUGUGCGCGAGUGCAGGCCUAGAUAAAUGAUAAGACGCACGCUUUCGGGCGGAGCGACAGAACCCGGCUUACAGGCUUGCUGCUACU
Molecule: RNase P RNA, 392 nt
Filed under: Pontibacter deserti
Lineage: Bacteria; Pseudomonadati; Bacteroidota; Cytophagia; Cytophagales; Hymenobacteraceae
Description: RNase P RNA component class A
Rfam family: Bacterial RNase P class A
About the family: Ribonuclease P (RNase P) is a ubiquitous endoribonuclease, found in archaea, bacteria and eukarya as well as chloroplasts and mitochondria. Its best characterised activity is the generation of mature 5'-ends of tRNAs by cleaving the 5'-leader elements of precursor-tRNAs.
Source: RNAcentral